CCUACGGGUGGCAGCAGUCGAGAAUCAUUCACAAUGGGGGAAACCCUGAUGGUGCGACGCCGCGUGGGGGAAUGAAGGUCUUCGGAUUGUAAACCCCUGUCAUGUGGGAGCAAAUUAAAAAGAUAGUACCACAAGAGGAAGAGACGGCUAACUCUGUGCCAGCAGCUGCGGUAAUCCAGAGGUCUCAAGCGUUGUUUGGAAUCACUGGGCGUAAAGGGUGCGUAGGCUGUUGCGUAAGUCGUGUGUGAAAGGCGCGGGCUCAACCCGCGGAGGGCACAUGAUACUGCGAGACUAGAGUAAUGGAGGGGGAACCGGAAUGCUCGGUGUAGCAGUGAAAUGCGUAGAUAUCGAGAGGAACCC
This 360-nucleotide ribosomal RNA is filed under the name uncultured bacterium. RNAcentral describes it as "partial 16S ribosomal RNA". It matches the Rfam family "Bacterial small subunit ribosomal RNA", at positions 338 to 709 of the family's 1533-position model. The record is from RNAcentral.